This 525-nucleotide long non-coding RNA is filed under the name Lathyrus oleraceus (garden pea). RNAcentral's name for it is "Pisum sativum (pea) long non-coding RNA (PSAT_LNC025851)". The record is from RNAcentral. Lineage: Eukaryota; Viridiplantae; Streptophyta; Magnoliopsida; Fabales; Fabaceae.
AAGAUGAGAGAAGAGAUAAAACCCUUGGAGUUCCUUUCUUGAGAUCAUAAAGAUGAUUCAAGAUACUCCUUCCCUUUGGACUUAGCAAUUAACUCAAGCAAUCAAACAAAUAUUCAAUCAAGCUCCUAGGAUCUCCAUUUGGCUUGUCUCUCUUAACUUGGAUGCUCAUGACAAUGGUCCUUCUAACUAUCUCAAGUUUGGAAUCCCUAUCACACAAGAACAAACAAUCAAAAAGUUCACAAUGCAAUAGGAGGAAUGGACAAAGAGAGUUUAGAUUAGGGGUCCUUUCAAGUCAACUUCAAGAUUUAAGCAUUCUAAAGGCAUGAGGCCUAGUUGCUCUUCAAUCAAUUUUAGCAUUCUAAAGGCAUGAGGCCUAGUUGCUCUUGAACUCCAUUAAGCAUAGGUAAGGUCCUAAGUCUAAGUCCUUUCUCCUUUUUGCAUUGGGUCCACAAAAACAAGCACAAAGCAACAAUAUAUUUAUAUAUAAUAAUAAGCUCAAGUGAGUAAAAGGAAAAUGGUAUAAAC